Molecule: long non-coding RNA, 286 nt
Organism: Myotis brandtii (Brandt's bat)
Lineage: Eukaryota; Metazoa; Chordata; Mammalia; Chiroptera; Vespertilionidae
Exons: 3
Source: RefSeq, a predicted model, not a curated record
AGGGUUUUUAGGAAAGCCGCUGUCCUCCCCACAGUGUCCGGCCUCUUGUGUUUCCCAGGGAGACCCGGCACUGGAACCUCUGCUGUCCUUGAGAACACCUGGAGGCUCGAACAUCUUCAGUCUCUGUUUCCAAUGAGCCACCUGAACUGCUGCGGGUGCGAACAGGCUUUAAAAAUGGGUCCUGACCAGCCAACGGUGCUCGCCUGUCGAGACAGCCACAAAGGCACGUCCUUUUGUCAGUCUGGCAAGGGACGCCGCUCCACGCUCCUCUCUCUGCCAGACGACA